Molecule: ribosomal RNA, 1653 nt
Filed under: Bacillus cereus
Lineage: Bacteria; Bacillati; Bacillota; Bacilli; Caryophanales; Bacillaceae
Description: bacterial SSU rRNA
Rfam family: Bacterial small subunit ribosomal RNA
Source: RNAcentral
GAGACCGUGCCAGCAAGCUAUACAUGCAGUCGAGCGAAUGGAUUAAGAGCUUGCUCUUAUGAAGUUAGCGGCGGACGGGUGAGUAACACGUGGGUAACCUGCCCAUAAGACUGGGAUAACUCCGGGAAACCGGGGCUAAUACCGGAUAACAUUUUGAACCGCAUGGUUCGAAAUUGAAAGGCGGCUUCGGCUGUCACUUAUGGAUGGACCCGCGUCGCAUUAGCUAGUUGGUGAGGUAACGGCUCACCAAGGCAACGAUGCGUAGCCGACCUGAGAGGGUGAUCGGCCACACUGGGACUGAGACACGGCCCAGACUCCUACGGGAGGCAGCAGUAGGGAAUCUUCCGCAAUGGACGAAAGUCUGACGGAGCAACGCCGCGUGAGUGAUGAAGGCUUUCGGGUCGUAAAACUCUGUUGUUAGGGAAGAACAAGUCCGAGUAUGUGGAAGACCUCAUCACUUGCCCUAGACUGGCUACACGGUCUACAAUGUGAAGGUUGAUCGCAACUGGACUGAACUGUCAGUCUACGAGUCACAGUAGGAAUCUCGCAUGAGAGUCGAGCGACAUGCCGCUGAAUAUGAGGCCUCGUCGUAACUCGUGUAGGAGACCAGGCUAGUGAUUAAGCUGCACUGACGUACUAGCAGAAAGUCACGCUAACUACGUGCAGCAGCGCGUAAUACGUAGUGCAAGCGUAUCUGAAUUAUUGGGCGUAAAGCGCGCGGCAGUGGUUUCUAAGUCUGAUGUGAAAGCCCACGGCUCAACCCGUGGAGGGUCAUUGGAAACUGGGAGACUUGAGUGCAGAAAGAGGAAAGUGGAAUUCCAUGUGUAGCGGUGAAAUGCGUAGAAGAUAUGGAGGAACACCAGUGGCGAAGGCGACUUUCUGGUCUGUAACUGACACUGAGGCGCGAAAGCGUGGGGAGCAAACAAGAUUAGAUACCCUGGUAGUCCACGCCGUAAACGAUGAGUGCUAAGUGUUAGAGGGUUUCCGCCCUUUAGUGCUGAAGUUAACGCAUUAAGCACUCCGCCUGGGGAGUACGGCCGCCAGGCUGAAACUCAAAGGAAUUGACGGGGGCCCGCACAAGCGGUGGAGCAUGUGGUUUAAUUUGAAGCAACGCGAAGAACCUUACCAGGUCUUGACAUCCUUUGACAACCCUAGAGAUAGGGCUUUUCCUUUGGGAGCAGAGUGACAGGUGGUGCAUGGUUGUUGUCAGCUUGUGUCGUGAGAUGUUGGGUUAAGUCCCGCAACGAGCGCAACCCUUGAUUUUAGUUGCCAUCAUUUAGUUGGGCACUUUAAGGUGACUGCCGGUGACAAACCGGAGGAAGGUGGGGAUGACGUCAAAUCAUCAUGCCCCUUAUGACCUGGGCUACACACGUGGUACAAUGGACGGUACAAAGAGCUGCAAGACCGCGAGGUGGAGCUAAUUUCAUAAAACCGUUUUCAGUUUGGAUUGUAGGCUGCAACUUGCCUACAUGAAGCUGGAAUCGGUAGUAAUCGCGGAUCAGCAUGCCGCGGUGAAUACGUUCCCGGGCCUUGUACACCCCGCCCGUCACCCCCCGAGAGUUUGUAACCCCCGAAGUCGGUGGGGUAACCUUUUUGGAGCCAGCCGCCUAAGGUGGGACAGAUGAUUGGGGGAAGUCGAACAAGAGCAUAGGG